GACGAACGCUGGCGGCGUGCCUAAUACAUGCAAGUCGAACGCUGAAGGAGGAGCUUGCUCUUCUGGAUGAGUUGCGAACGGGUGAGUAACGCGUAGGUAACCUGCCUUGUAGCGGGGGAUAACUAUUGGAAACGAUAGCUAAUACCGCAUAACAGUAGAUGUUGCAUGACAUUUACUUAAAAGGUGCAAUUGCAUCACUACCAGAUGGACCUGCGUUGUAUUAGCUAGUUGGUGGGGUAACGGCUCACCAAGGCGACGAUUCAGAGCCGACCUGAGAGGGUGGUCGGGCAAACUGGGACUGGGACACGGCCCAGACUCCUACGGGAGGCAGCAGGAGGGAAUCUUCGGCAAAGGACGGAAGGCUGACCGAGCAACGCCGCGGGAGGGAAGAAGGGUUUCGGAUCGUAAGGCUCUGUUGUAAGAGAAGAACGAGUGUGAGAGUGGAAAGUUCACACUGUGACGGUAGCUUACCAGAAAGGGACGGCUAACUACGUG
This 495-nucleotide ribosomal RNA is filed under the name uncultured bacterium. Its description in RNAcentral is "partial 16S ribosomal RNA". It matches the Rfam family "Bacterial small subunit ribosomal RNA", at positions 28 to 507 of the family's 1533-position model. The record is from RNAcentral.